GGACUACAGGGGUAUCUAAUCCUGUUUGCUCCCCUAGCUUUCGUGCCUCAGCGUCAGUUUCUGUCCAGGUAGCCGCCUUCGCCACCGGUGUUCCUCCUGAUAUCUACGCAUUUCACCGCUACACCAGGAAUUCCGCUACCCCCUCCAGAACUCUAGCACGCCAGUUUCGGAUGCAGGCUCUGGGUUGAGCCCAGAGUUUUCACAUCCGACUUAGCGCACCGCCUACGCACCCUUUACGCCCAGUAAUUCCGAACAACGCUGGCCCCCUACGUCUUACCGCGGCGGCUGGCAC
This 292-nucleotide ribosomal RNA is filed under the name uncultured Acidobacteriota bacterium. RNAcentral describes it as "uncultured Acidobacteria bacterium partial 16S ribosomal RNA". Lineage: Bacteria; Pseudomonadati; Acidobacteriota. The record is from RNAcentral.